RNAcentral lists this ribosomal RNA (464 nucleotides) under Vreelandella stevensii. RNAcentral's name for it is "partial 16S ribosomal RNA". It matches the Rfam family "Bacterial small subunit ribosomal RNA", at positions 338 to 795 of the family's 1533-position model. Lineage: Bacteria; Pseudomonadati; Pseudomonadota; Gammaproteobacteria; Oceanospirillales; Halomonadaceae. The record is from RNAcentral.
CCUACGGGGGCAGCAGUGGGGAAUAUUGGACAAUGGGCGAAAGCCUGAUCCAGCCAUGCCGCGUGUGUGAAGAAGGCCUUCGGGUUGUAAAGCACUUUCAGUGGGGAAGAAAGCCUUGGGGCUAAUACCCUCGAGGAAGGACAUCACCCACAGAAGAAGUACCGGCUAACUCCGUGCCAGCAGCCGCGGUAAUACGGAGGGUGCGAGCGUUAAUCGGAAUUACUGGGCGUAAAGCGCGCGUAGGCGGUCUGAUAAGCCGGUUGUGAAAGCCCCGGGCUCAACCUGGGAACGGCAUCCGGAACUGUCAGGCUAGAGUGCAGGAGAGGAAGGUAGAAUUCCCGGUGUAGCGGUGAAAUGCGUAGAGAUCGGGAGGAAUACCAGUGGCGAAGGCGGCCUUCUGGACUGACACUGACGCUGAGGUGCGAAAGCGUGGGUAGCAAACAGGAUUAGAUACCCCGGUAGUC